UCGGACGUACUUUAGUCAUACUGUUUUCGGAUGCAGCAAGUGUUCUGACUGUUACUGCUUGUCUGAACGUUCUUCGUGGAAAUAAUGAAGUGUCUAGUUGGUCCAGUGGGCUACUCAGAAUACAAAAACCACGCAAUCUAGAGAAGGCAAAGAAGAAAAAAAAGAUCGUCUGAACAUGCAAUCCAGAAGAACAAGGAAACUUGUGCUUGAGAACCACAUUCUAGGGACUAAGCGGGAUUUACAAGGAGCACGAGGCCAGGCCAAGCGGUCCACUUUAAAGGAAGCACGCUGACACAUGUAUGCUGGUGGCGAGCAGCUGAGGCAGCUGCAGGUCGGGCGGAGGAAACGCCCUCUCUGUCUAUCCUCUUCACUGGCUGGAGUUCACCCUGUCCCUGAGCUCCCCGCCCCUGAUCGCAACCUCCAAAAAAGAUGCACAAGCUGGACUUUGCGAGACAUUACAGAUAAAGAUUGUUCAAAGCUUUUUUUUCAUUGACAUUUGCUUUUG
Molecule: long non-coding RNA, 505 nt
Organism: Pimephales promelas (fathead minnow)
Lineage: Eukaryota; Metazoa; Chordata; Actinopteri; Cypriniformes; Leuciscidae
Source: RefSeq, a predicted model, not a curated record